This 333-nucleotide ribosomal RNA is filed under the name uncultured Enterococcus sp. Its description in RNAcentral is "bacterial SSU rRNA". It matches the Rfam family "Bacterial small subunit ribosomal RNA", at positions 19 to 332 of the family's 1533-position model. Lineage: Bacteria; Bacillati; Bacillota; Bacilli; Lactobacillales; Enterococcaceae. The record is from RNAcentral.
UUGGCUCAGAACGAACGCUGGCGGCGUGCCUAAUACAUGCAAGUCGAACGCUUUUUCUUUCACCGGAGCUUGCUCCACCGAAAGAAAAAGAGUGGCGAACGGGUGAGUAACACGUGGGUAACCUGCCCAUCAGAAGGGGAUAACACUUGGAAACAGGUGCUAAUACCGUAUAACACUAUUUUCCGCAUGGAAGAAAGUUGAAAGGCGCUUUUGCGUCACUGAUGGAUGGACCCGCGGUGCAUUAGCUAGUUGGUGAGGUAACGGCUCACCAAGGCAACGAUGCAUAGCCGACCUGAGAGGGUGAUCGGCCACACUGGGACUGAGACACGGCCC